UACGUAGGGUGCGAGCGUUGUCCGGAAUUAUUGGGCGUAAAGAGCUCGUAGGCGGUCUGUCGCGUCGAUCGUGAAAACUUGGGGCUUAACCCUGAGCUUGCGGUCGAUACGGGCAUGACUGGAGUUCGGCAGGGGAGACUGGAAUUCCUGGUGUAGCGGUGAAAUGCGCAGAUAUCAGGAGGAACACCAGUAGCGAAGGCGGCUCUCUGGACUGUAACUGACACUGAGGCACGAAAGCGUGGGGAGCAAACAGG
This 254-nucleotide ribosomal RNA is filed under the name uncultured bacterium. Its description in RNAcentral is "partial 16S ribosomal RNA". It matches the Rfam family "Bacterial small subunit ribosomal RNA", at positions 524 to 776 of the family's 1533-position model. The record is from RNAcentral.